AUAUUUAUCCUUCACUGAAUAUUGAAGCAGUAUGCAUGUGCCUGUACAGACUUCUACUAGAACAAGUACCAGGGACGAGUUGGAGUGCAAACAUAUACAAGGAUUUGGCACAUAUGCUAUGCCACGAUUCGUAUUUUAGCUUUAACAGCUUGUAUUAUAAGCAAACACGGGGUCCUGAUAGGAAGCCCGCUAGCGGGCGCACUAGCAGAGCUGGUGAUUACAUUAGAAAAAACAGAUAUAAGCAAAAUGAUAAGUAAAGCAAAGUUCUACGCAAGGUACGUGGACAACGUAUUUGCAAUAUGGGAAUGUGAAGAGGAAGAGGAAAACUUAAGUAAAGAGUUCAUGUUGCCAAAUCAUGGCCUGUCCUUAG
This 370-nucleotide long non-coding RNA is filed under the name Androctonus crassicauda. Lineage: Eukaryota; Metazoa; Arthropoda; Arachnida; Scorpiones; Buthidae. The record is from RNAcentral.